GACGAACGUUGGCGGCGUGCUUAACACAUGCAAGUCGAACGGAAAGGCCCUGCUUUUGUGGGGUGCUCGAGUGGCGAACGGGUGAGUAACACGUGAGUAACCUGCCCUUGACUUUGGGAUAUCUUCAGGAAACUGGGGCUAAUACCGGAUAGGAGCUCCUGCUGCAUGGUGGGGGUUGGAAAGUUUCGGCGGUUGGGGAUGGACUCGCGGCUUAUCAGCUUGUUGGUGGGGUAGUGGCUUACCAAGGCUUUGACGGGUAGCCGGCCUGAGAGGGUGACCGGCCACAUUGGGACUGAGAUACGGCCCAGACUCCUACGGGAGGCAGCAGUGGGGAAUAUUGCACAAUGGGCGGAAGCCUGAUGCAGCAACGCCGCGUGCGGGAUGACGGCCUUCGGGUUGUAAACCGCUUUCGCCUGUGACGAAGCGUGAGUGACGGUAAUGGGUAAAGAAGCACCGGCUAACUACGUGCCAGCAGCCGCGGUGAUACGUAGGGUGCGAGCGUUGUCCGGAUUUAUUGGGCGUAAAGGGCUCGUAGGUGGUUGAUCGCGUCGGAAGUGUAAUCUUGGGGCUUAACCCUGAGCGUGCUUUCGAUACGGGUUGACUUGAGGAAGGUAGGGGAGAAUGGAAUUCCUGGUGGAGCGGUGGAAUGCGCAGAUAUCAGGAGGAACACCAGUGGCGAAGGCGGUUCUCUGGGCCUCUCCUGACGCUGAGGAGCGAAAGCGUGGGGAGCGAACAGGCUUAGAUACCCUGGUAGUCCACGCUGUAAACGGUGGUACUAGGUGUGGGGUCCAUUCCACGGGUUCCGUGCCGUAGCUAACGCUUUAAGUACCCCGCCUGGGGAGUACGGCCGCAAGGCUAAAACUCAAAGGAAUUGACGGGGCCCCGCACAAGCGGCGGAGCAUGCGGAUUAAUUCGAUGCAACGCGUAGAACCUUACCUGGGUUUGACAUGGAUCGGGAGUGCUCAGAGAUGGGUGUGCCUCUUUUGGGGUCGGUUCACAGGUGGUGCAUGGCUGUCGUCAGCUCGUGUCGUGAGAUGUUGGGUUAAGUCCCGCAACGAGCGCAACCCUUGUUCACUGUUGCCAGCACGUUAUGGUGGGGACUCAGUGGAGACCGCCGGGGUCAACUCGGAGGAAGGUGGGGAUGACGUCAAGUCAUCAUGCCCCUUAUGUCCAGGGCUUCACGCAUGCUACAAUGGCUGGUACAGAGAGUGGCGAGCCUGUGAGGGUGAGCGAAUCUCGGAAAACCGGUCUCAGUUCGGAUUGGGGUCUGCAACUCGACCUCAUGAAGUCGGAGUCGCUAGUAAUCGCAGAUCAGCAACGCUGCGGUGAAUACGUUCCCGGGGCU
This 1345-nucleotide ribosomal RNA is filed under the name uncultured bacterium. RNAcentral's name for it is "partial 16S ribosomal RNA". It matches the Rfam family "Bacterial small subunit ribosomal RNA", at positions 28 to 1381 of the family's 1533-position model. The record is from RNAcentral.